RNAcentral lists this ribosomal RNA (504 nucleotides) under Fusarium cf. solani ATS16. RNAcentral's name for it is "eukaryotic LSU rRNA". The stretch from base 129 to 282 matches the Rfam family "5.8S ribosomal RNA". Lineage: Eukaryota; Fungi; Ascomycota; Sordariomycetes; Hypocreales; Nectriaceae. RNAcentral also lists the same sequence under 1 other name. The record is from RNAcentral.
CCUGUGACAUACCUAUAACGUUGCCUCGGCGGGAACAGACGGCCCCGUAACACGGGCCGCCCCCGCCAGAGGACCCCCUAACUCUGUUUCUAUAAUGUUUCUUCUGAGUAAACAAGCAAAUAAAUUAAAACUUUCAACAACGGAUCUCUUGGCUCUGGCAUCGAUGAAGAACGCAGCGAAAUGCGAUAAGUAAUGUGAAUUGCAGAAUUCAGUGAAUCAUCGAAUCUUUGAACGCACAUUGCGCCCGCCAGUAUUCUGGCGGGCAUGCCUGUUCGAGCGUCAUUACAACCCUCAGGCCCCCGGGCCUGGCGUUGGGGAUCGGCGGAAGCCCCCUGCGGGCACAACGCCGUCCCCCAAAUACAGUGGCGGUCCCGCCGCAGCUUCCAUUGCGUAGUAGCUAACACCUCGCAACUGGAGAGCGGCGCGGCCACGCCGUAAAACACCCAACUUCUGAAUGUUGACCUCGAAUCAGGUAGGAAUACCCGCUGAACUUAAGCAUAUCAA